RNAcentral lists this ribosomal RNA (468 nucleotides) under uncultured bacterium. RNAcentral's name for it is "partial 16S ribosomal RNA". It matches the Rfam family "Bacterial small subunit ribosomal RNA", at positions 28 to 507 of the family's 1533-position model. The record is from RNAcentral.
GACGAACGCUGGCGGCGUGCUUAACACAUGCAAGUCGAACGGAAAGGCCCUGCUUUUGUGGGGUUCUCGAGGGGCGAACGGGUGAGUAACACGUGAGUAACCUGCCCUUGACUUUGGGAUAACUUCAGGAAACUGGGGCUAAUACCGGAUAGGAGCUCCUGCUGCAUGGUGGGGGUUGGAAAGUUUCGGCGGUUGGGGAUGGACUCGCGGCUUAUCAGCUUGUUGGUGGGGUAGUGGCUUACCAAGGCUUUGACGGGUAGCCCGCCUGGGAGGGUGACCGGCGACAUUGCGACUGAGAUACGGCCCAGUCUCCUACGGGAGGCAGCAGUGGGGAAUAUUGCACAGUGGGCGGACGCCUGAUGCAGCAACGCUGCGUGCGGGAUGACGGCCUUCGGGUUGUAAACCGCUUUCGCCUGUGACGAAGCGUGAGUGACGGUAAUGGGUAAAGAAGCACCGGCUAACUACGUG